This 460-nucleotide ribosomal RNA is filed under the name uncultured bacterium. RNAcentral describes it as "partial 16S ribosomal RNA". It matches the Rfam family "Bacterial small subunit ribosomal RNA", at positions 338 to 795 of the family's 1533-position model. The record is from RNAcentral.
CCUACGGGAGGCAGCAGUGAGGAAUAUUGGUCAAUGGGCGCGAGCCUGAACCAGCCAAGUAGCGUGAAGGAUGACUGCCCUACGGGUUGUAAACUUCUUUUAUAAAGGAAUAAAGUGCGGCACGUGUGCCUUUUUGUAUGUACUUUAUGAAUAAGGAUCGGCUAACUCCGUGCCAGCAGCCGCGGUAAUACGGAGGAUCCGAGCGUUAUCCGGAUUUAUUGGGUGUAAAGGGAGCGUAGGUGGGUUGUUAAGUCAGUUGUGAAAGUUUGGGGCUCAACUGUAAAAUUGCAAUUGAUACUGGAAGUCUAGAGUACAGUUGAGGUAGGCGGAAUUCGUGGUGUAGCGGUGAAAUGCUUAGAUAUCACGAAGAACUCCGAUAGCGAAGGCAGCUAACUAGAUUGACACUGACAUUGAGGCGCGAAAGUGUGGGUAUCAAACAGGAUUAGAUACCCCUGUAGUC